UACGUAGGGGGCUAGCGUUGUCCGGAAUCAUUGGGCGUAUAGAGCGUGUAGGCGGCCCGGUAAGUCCGCUGUGAAAGUCGGGGGCUCAACCCUCGAAUGCCGGUGGAUACUGUCGGGCUAGAGUGCGGAAGAGGCGAGUGGAAUUCCUGGUGUAGCGGUGAAAUGCGCAGAUAUCAGGAGGAACACCAAUUGCGAAGGCAGCUCGCUGGGACGUAACUGACGCUGAGACGCGAAAGCGUGGGGAGCAAACAGG
This 253-nucleotide ribosomal RNA is filed under the name uncultured bacterium. RNAcentral describes it as "partial 16S ribosomal RNA". It matches the Rfam family "Bacterial small subunit ribosomal RNA", at positions 524 to 776 of the family's 1533-position model. The record is from RNAcentral.